This 459-nucleotide ribosomal RNA is filed under the name uncultured bacterium. Its description in RNAcentral is "partial 16S ribosomal RNA". It matches the Rfam family "Bacterial small subunit ribosomal RNA", at positions 338 to 795 of the family's 1533-position model. The record is from RNAcentral.
CCUACGGGUGGCAGCAGUGAGGAAUAUUGGUCAAUGGGCGAGAGCCUGAACCAGCAAAGUCGCGUGAGGGAAGACGGUCCUAUUGAUUGUACACCUCUUUUGCCGGGGAUCAAAAAGCGGUACGUGUACCGCAUCGAGAUUACCCGGAGAAAAAGCAUCGGCUAACUCCGUUCCAGCAGCCGCGGUCAUACGGAGGAUUCGAGCGUUAUCCGGAUUUAUUGGGUUUAAAGGGUGCGUAGGCGGAAGGUUACGUCAGCGGGCAAAGGUCGGUGCUCAACACCGGCCUGCCUUUGAAACUGGUCUUCUUGAGUGAGCGAGAAGUAUGCGGAAUGCGUGGUGGAGCGGUGAAAUGCAUAGAUAUCACGCAGAACUCCGAUUGCGAAGGCAGCAUACCGGCGCUCAACUGACGCUGAGGCACGAAAGCGUGGGGAUCGAACAGGAUUAGAUACCCUGGUAGUC